UUAAUAGAAAUAACGGAUGAAAAUGUCAAUUUCCUUGUUUUGGCGGAAUUAUUUUGGCAAUUGCAUGAGUUUUAUAAUUAAAAAGUUUUUUACCAAUUAAAAAUGAUUUAGUGUUGUAUUUGCAAAAUGUUAAAGUCAAAUUAAACCAUAAAAUUGUGAAAUAAUUAAGAAAAAUGCUAUAAAAACCUACAAUAAUGAAUUAUGAUCUACAGAAGUAAUCGCAUUGAAACCAAUCAAAUUUGUCAGAAUGAAAAGUGCAUAUGUAUAUGUUUGUAAAAUAGUUUGAGAUGUGCUGCUAAUCUUCCAGUAAAAAGGGUUGAGCUUUCACAUAAAGCUUAAAAGCGUGAAAGUUCUACUUAGAUUUGAACAUUCUUAGCACCGACUUUUAGCCCACCUAAAUUGUUGCAUUUAUUACAAUAUUCAGCAUUAUACAAUAUUUUAGAAAUAAGCUCAUUUACUGAAAUUUUUUAAAAAAGGACAUUCGAAAUAUUCGAAGGUUAUUAGUUCAAUUAACAACCAAUCAACUCCAAAAGAUGGAAUAAUCAUACUAUUUGACGCAAUUAAUUUGAUUUUUAGUUAAGCUUCGAUCUUUAUACCAAAAAGGUUGACUUAUCACUAACAAUAUCACAAACACCUUGAGUUCCAGUUUUUAGGAAUUGGUGGUUUUAUUUGAAACAGUCGAUUUAAAAACAAUCAACGAAAAAAAUUUCGAUUUCAAAAUGAUCAACGAACAUUUGGAGAUCAAAAAGAACGUUCCACAGACUGAGUAGUCAAUGGUGUUUAAAUCCCACUUUAGAAUAAUUGCUGAUAAUACUCAUCGCCACAUACUAAAAGAACAUAUUUUACUAGGUUCAGUGUUGGAAAAGGUCAAUUUAACCUAAUGUCAACCGAUUUACACACGAGUGGGCGAAGAAAACAUAGAAGACAUAGUUUCUUAAGGACGAUAUAGUAGAACCUAAUAUUGAGAAUACGGAUUAACAAUUUGUUUUGACCAAUGCAUU
Molecule: long non-coding RNA, 1001 nt
Organism: Zeugodacus cucurbitae (melon fly)
Lineage: Eukaryota; Metazoa; Arthropoda; Insecta; Diptera; Tephritidae
Exons: 2
Source: RefSeq, a predicted model, not a curated record